AAAUUGAAGAGUUUGAUCAUGGCUCAGAUUGAACGCUGGCGGCAGGCCUAACACAUGCAAGUCGAACGGUAACAGGAAGCAGCUUGCUGCUUUGCUGACGAGUGGCGGACGGGUGAGUAAUGUCUGGGAAACUGCCUGAUGGAGGGGGAUAACUACUGGAAACGGUGGCUAAUACCGCAUAACGUCGCAAGACCAAAGAGGGGGACCUUCGGGCCUCUUGCCAUCAGAUGUGCCCAGAUGGGAUUAGCUUGUUGGUGAGGUAACGGCUCACCAAGGCGACGAUCCCUAGCUGGUCUGAGAGGAUGACCAGCAACACUGGAACUGAGACACGGUCCAGACUCCUACGGGAGGCAGCAGUGGGGAAUAUUGCACAAUGGGCGCAAGCCUGAUGCAGCCAUGCCGCGUGUAUGAAGAAGGCCUUCGGGUUGUAAAGUACUUUCAGCGGGGAGGAAGGUGUUG
Molecule: ribosomal RNA, 459 nt
Filed under: Salmonella enterica
Lineage: Bacteria; Pseudomonadati; Pseudomonadota; Gammaproteobacteria; Enterobacterales; Enterobacteriaceae
Description: bacterial SSU rRNA
Rfam family: Bacterial small subunit ribosomal RNA
Source: RNAcentral